This 679-nucleotide ribosomal RNA is filed under the name Novosphingobium sp. SMCC B0615. RNAcentral's name for it is "bacterial SSU rRNA". It matches the Rfam family "Bacterial small subunit ribosomal RNA", at positions 23 to 748 of the family's 1533-position model. Lineage: Bacteria; Pseudomonadati; Pseudomonadota; Alphaproteobacteria; Sphingomonadales; Sphingomonadaceae. The record is from RNAcentral.
CUCAGAACGAACGCUGGCGGCAUGCCUAACACAUGCAAGUCGAACGAGACCUUCGGGUCUAGUGGCGCACGGGUGCGUAACGCGUGGGAAUCUGCCCUUUGCUUCGGAAUAACUCAGGGAAACUUGUGCUAAUACCGGAUGAUGUCUUCGGACCAAAGAUUUAUCGGCAAAGGAUGAGCCCGCGUAGGAUUAGGUAGUUGGUGGGGUAAAGGCCUACCAAGCCGACGAUCCUUAGCUGGUCUGAGAGGAUGAUCAGCCACACUGGGACUGAGACACGGCCCAGACUCCUACGGGAGGCAGCAGUGGGGAAUAUUGGACAAUGGGCGAAAGCCUGAUCCAGCAAUGCCGCGUGAGUGAUGAAGGCCUUAGGGUCGUAAAGCUCUUUUACCAGGGAUGAUAAUGACAGUACCUGGAGAAUAAGCUCCGGCUAACUCCGUGCCAGCAGCCGCGGUAAUACGGAGGGAGCUAGCGUUGUUCGGAAUUACUGGGCGUAAAGCGUACGUAGGCGGUUAUUCAAGUCAGAGGUGAAAGCCCGGGGCUCAACCCCGGAACGGCCUUUGAAACUAGAUAGCUAGAGUCUUGGAGAGGUCAGUGGAAUUCCGAGUGUAGAGGUGAAAUUCGUAGAUAUUCGGAAGAACACCAGUGGCGAAGGCGACUGACUGGACAAGUACUGACGCUG